UGUAAGUAAUCCACACAUUUCAAGAAUCAAAUUUGAUUGACAAUCAGUGAAAUAAUAUGUGGGAUAUGUGAAUGGAAGUGAUAUCAUUGGAUUUAUAGUUAUAAGCAUUUUCCAGUGAUAUCACUUUUUGUUUCACAAAUAAGGUGCAUAUUAUUGUUCUGAUUAUUAGUCAAACUUCGAUCUGUAGAUGUGCGGCAUAUUACGUAAAACAAAAGGCGGGAGUACCAAACACCAAACCAAGAAUGUUUAAGGUUAGUUGCUAACUAGCACAACUGAGCACACAUCCAGGAAAAGUGUGCUAUUGGGUGACAAAAAUAUAUAAUUUGAGCUCUACCUGACAUGUAUAGGCUACAGAAGUGACCAGCAGAGUUGUAAAAAGUUGCAGAGUGGAGCAUAUUGGAGAGGGUCAUUUUACAUGCAACUAGUUGAAAAAUGGAUGGCGUCGGCGAUGUCAUAUUCUCGAAAAAUUGGGCCUUUCAAAUAGCUGGUAUGCUUGCUAGGGUUUGAGCGGGAGAGAGAGAGCUGUGAGGGCGCGAGAGAGCCGGCCGUGGGGUCCUUUCCCACGGCCGGGCAAGAGGGAAAAGGGUUUUCCUUCUUAAUUCUUGCCUGCUUAGAUUGAUACAUCUCCUCUCUAUAUAUAGAGAGGUUUACUUGACUCCCAAGUAAGGCUUACUUGACCCCUAAGCAAACCCUAAGACUAACGGCCCAGGCCCAUCACGUACUCUAACACUACACCCCACCUGGACAUGCAGCUUGUCCUCGAGCUGCAACCUAAUGACGAUUCGACCCCACACAACCCUAACGCCUAAAAAACAAGCCUUUUACAUCUCGGCCUAUUGUAUUGACCUGAAAUAAGCUAACCCGAAUGAGACUCCGACUCUUUAUUUUUGACUCCGAACGAUAAGGCCAGAAUCCUCCGCGCGCCGAACUUGUGCGUUUGCAGCCCCCUUGGAUCCCAAGGACACCAUCGGGACCAAAGGAGUCCUCGCGGCGGCCGGCGGCGGAAUGCAGUGGUGCUACACGGUGUGCUCCUGUCGGUGACACCAUGUCUUCUCCCCGCCGGCUGACUGUCGAUGUCGCAGACUUGGAGGUCGUCGCCCGUGGGAAAAACAGCAUGCCCGCCGCCCGUGGGGGAAACCGCAUGCCCAAGAUCCCCCACGCAGCGGACGAGAUCGAGGUCCGUUGCACCGCGAAGCGCAACUUGGAGGAUCUGCAGCUGCAAAUCACGCAUCUCCCGCACAUGCCGACGCGCUAGGAGGCCGCGGGCAGUAGCCCGCAGCCUCACCGCCGCCGACACGUGGUGGGUAGCGAUCCAAGCCGGAAGCGGUGCCGGCGACGGCUGGAACUUGAUCUGUUGGAUGGGAUUGUCCUGGGACGGCGGUGGUGCUGCUGGGAACGAGGUCGUCGCAGUCCCGUCGUAGGGCAUCCCAUGCUGGAACGUGAUGACCGGCGCCGUGGUCGCAGUCGAGGGCGGCGGCGGCGGCCGUGCGGGGGUCGGCGCCGUGCUGUGACCAUGGAGGACCCCCGUGGAAUGGCGCAUCGUCGGGACCGGCGAAGCGGGAGAGCCCGCCGUACUGUUGGGGUGGCGCCGGUGGCUACCGGAUGUGCGGCGGCGCCCAGGCCGCCGUAUAGAUCAACCCGGAGACGGGGAGCGGCAGCGGCGGCUGCAGCAGCCUGGCGUCGAGUGGCGGCGACGACAGCAGCAACGUCGGCUGCCGCGGCCCGACGAUCGCGGCGGAGGCCGCCUGGUGCGGCGGCUGCCACGUCAGCCGUGCCGGCCCGUAGGCGGCGACUGAUGGCGCGGCCGGCGGCGGUCCGUAGGGACCGGCCAGGUAGAGGCAGAUCCCUUGGACGGCGGUGGUGAGAUCGCGGAUUGCUCCGGUGAUCUCCUCCGGGGUGAGGGCGACAGGAAGCGGCGGCGACGGGGUGAACAUGAUCGAGCCUGAGAAAUCUGAUACCGGGUCUUGGCCAGAGGUUGUAGGGGAAAGAGGGGAUCGGCUGUGGUCGCCGGCGCAGGGGCGCCGUCUCGCACGGAUGGGGGCGGCGGCGCGAUGGAAGAGGCGGGUAGGGUUAGGGCACCGGCUCCUAGUUGGAGCCGAUCAAAAUAGAUUGAUCUUUGCUCUGAUACCAGAUGGUAUGGUUGCUAGGGUUUGAGCGGGAGAGAGAGAGCUGCGAUGGCGCGAGAGAGCCGGCCGUGGGGGUCCUUUCCCACGGCCGGGCAAGAGGGAAAAGGGGUUUCCUUCUUAAUUCUUGCCUGCUUAGAUUGAUACGUCUCCUCUCCAUAUAUAGAGAGGUUUACUUGACUUUCAAGUAAGGCUUACUUGACCCCCAAGCAAACCCUAAGACUAACGGGCCCAGGCCCAUCACGCACUCUAACAAUAGCAUAGUGAAAUCAACCUUCUUUGUUAUGCUAUGUUCCAACUCAAGGCAAUUGUGAUGGCACUGAGUGAAUUUGUGGAAAAUAAAUAAAUUAUGAUAAGGUGGUAUAUGCUGUCUCAGUAGAUGUAUUUUAUGGAAAAAUGUUACCUAAUUGACGCCUCAAA
This 2543-nucleotide long non-coding RNA is filed under the name Hordeum vulgare. RNAcentral's name for it is "long non-coding RNA (HVUL_LNC015910)". The record is from RNAcentral. Lineage: Eukaryota; Viridiplantae; Streptophyta; Magnoliopsida; Poales; Poaceae.